This 2143-nucleotide ribosomal RNA is filed under the name Salmonella enterica subsp. enterica serovar Enteritidis. Its description in RNAcentral is "partial 23S ribosomal RNA". It matches the Rfam family "Bacterial large subunit ribosomal RNA", at positions 774 to 2893 of the family's 2925-position model. Lineage: Bacteria; Pseudomonadati; Pseudomonadota; Gammaproteobacteria; Enterobacterales; Enterobacteriaceae. The record is from RNAcentral.
CCGAACCGACUAAUGUUGAAAAAUUAGCGGAUGACCUGUGGCUGGGGGUGAAAGGCCAAUCAAACCGGGAGAUAGCUGGUUCUCCCCGAAAGCUAUUUAGGUAGCGCCUCGUGAAUUCAUCUCCGGGGGUAGAGCACUGUUUCGGCUAGGGGGCCAUCCCGGCUUACCAACCCGAUGCAAACUGCGAAUACCGGAGAAUGUUAUCACGGGAGACACACGGCGGGUGCUAACGUCCGUCGUGAAGAGGGAAACAACCCAGACCGCCAGCUAAGGUCCCAAAGUCAUGGUUAAGUGGGAAACGAUGUGGGAAGGCCCAGACAGCCAGGAUGUUGGCUUAGAAGCAGCCAUCAUUUAAAGAAAGCGUAAUAGCUCACUGGUCGAGUCGGCCUGCGCGGAAGAUGUAACGGGGCUAAACCAUGCACCGAAGCUGCGGCAGCGACACUGUGUGUUGUUGGGUAGGGGAGCGUUCUGUAAGCCUGUGAAGGUGUGUCGUGAGGCAUGCUGGAGGUAUCAGAAGUGCGAAUGCUGACAUAAGUAACGAUAAAGCGGGUGAAAAGCCCGCUCGCCGGAAGACCAAGGGUUCCUGUCCAACGUUAAUCGGGGCAGGGUGAGUCGACCCCUAAGGCGAGGCCGAAAGGCGUAGUCGAUGGGAAACGGGUUAAUAUUCCCGUACUUGGUGUUACUGCGAAGGGGGGACGGAGAAGGCUAUGUUGGCCGGGCGACGGUUGUCCCGGUUUAAGCGUGUAGGUGUGUGUUCCAGGUAAAUCCGGUUCACUUUAACACUGAGGCGUGACGACGAGGCACUACGGUGCUGAAGCAACAAAUGCCCUGCUUCCAGGAAAAGCCUCUAAGCAUCAGGUAACAUCAAAUCGUACCCCAAACCGACACAGGUGGUCAGGUAGAGAAUACCAAGGCGCUUGAGAGAACUCGGGUGAAGGAACUAGGCAAAAUGGUGCCGUAACUUCGGGAGAAGGCACGCUGACACGUAGGUGAAGUGAUUUACUCAUGGAGCUGAAGUCAGUCGAAGAUACCAGCUGGCUGCAACUGUUUAUUAAAAACACAGCACUGUGCAAACACGAAAGUGGACGUAUACGGUGUGACGCCUGCCCGGUGCCGGAAGGUUAAUUGAUGGGGUCAGCGCAAGCGAAGCUCCUGAUCGAAGCCCCGGUAAACGGCGGCCGUAACUAUAACGGUCCUAAGGUAGCGAAAUUCCUUGUCGGGUAAGUUCCGACCUGCACGAAUGGCGUAAUGAUGGCCAGGCUGUCUCCACCCGAGACUCAGUGAAAUUGAACUCGCUGUGAAGAUGCAGUGUACCCGCGGCAAGACGGAAAGACCCCGUGAACCUUUACUAUAGCUUGACACUGAACAUUGAGCCUUGAUGUGUAGGAUAGGUGGGAGGCUUUGAAGUGUGGACGCCAGUCUGCAUGGAGCCGACCUUGAAAUACCACCCUUUAAUGUUUGAUGUUCUAACGUGGACCCGUUACCCGGGUUGCGGACAGUGUCUGGUGGGUAGUUUGACUGGGGCGGUCUCCUCCUAAAGAGUAACGGAGGAGCACGAAGGUUGGCUAAUCCUGGUCGGACAUCAGGAGGUUAGUGCAAUGGCAUAAGCCAGCUUGACUGCGAGCGUGACGGCGCGAGCAGGUGCGAAAGCAGGUCAUAGUGAUCCGGUGGUUCUGAAUGGAAGGGCCAUCGCUCAACGGAUAAAAGGUACUCCGGGGAUAACAGGCUGAUACCGCCCAAGAGUUCAUAUCGACGGCGGUGUUUGGCACCUCGAUGUCGGCUCAUCACAUCCUGGGGCUGAAGUAGGUCCCAAGGGUAUGGCUGUUCGCCAUUUAAAGUGGUACGCGAGCUGGGUUUAGAACGUCGUGAGACAGUUCGGUCCCUAUCUGCCGUGGGCGCUGGAGAACUGAGGGGGGCUGCUCCUAGUACGAGAGGACCGGAGUGGACGCAUCACUGGUGUUCGGGUUGUCAUGCCAAUGGCACUGCCCGGUAGCUAAAUGCGGAAGAGAUAAGUGCUGAAAGCAUCUAAGCACGAAACUUGCCCCGAGAUGAGUUCUCCCUGAGACUUAAAGUCUCCUGAAGGAACGUUGAAGACGACGACGUUGAUAGGCCGGGUGUGUAAGCGCAGCGAUGCGUUGAGCUA